AAUAAUCAUAAAAAGUGUUAACUAUUAAAGUCAAUUAAAUAAUACUUGUGUUCCUUUUAUUAUGAUAAUCCUCACAAUAACAUUGAUUACA
This is a long non-coding RNA of Sinocyclocheilus anshuiensis, 91 nucleotides long. RefSeq lists it as uncharacterized. The record is from RefSeq and is a predicted model, not a curated record. NCBI's taxonomy places the organism in Eukaryota, Metazoa, Chordata, Actinopteri, Cypriniformes, Cyprinidae. The transcript has 3 exons.